CUGCUCUUCCUCCGUAGCGCCCUUGCGUCUUCGCUGCAGCAGCUUCUGGAGCUGAGGUCCCAGCAGUGUCCCUCAGAGCCAAGCCCAGGACCCAGCAGAACCACGACCCAAGGUAGGACUACAGCUCCCCAGAUCCCCCCUCCCGCUGACGGCCGGGGACAUGUCGCCGUUGCACCAGGGAUGCGGCCCCUCACCAGUAGCUGCCGGCGCUGCCGCAACGGCACAUAGGGUACGUAGUCCUCGUCGUCCUCAUCCUCGUCCUCGGAGCGGCUCCCACCCGCGGUCGCCUCGUCCGCGCGUGCCCGCUGCGGAGACCCGAGUCAGCCGCGGCCCCUCCCCCUGCCCGCACCCCCUCGCGUGGACCAAACCUCAGUCCCACCUUCCGCUCCGGUUCCGAAUCCUCCAUCUUAGGCUGCACACAUGCGCAAUGCCAGGGCAUCUGAGCUCCAAUCAGAUAGGAAAAACUGCUGUGGUCGCCUAGCAACGGCGUGAGCGCCGGAUCGCGAACCGGGACAAUCUUCUUCCAGCGCGUUUACGGACGCGCAGCGGAGCCAAUUGGGUCUGGCGAAGCCUUGUGGGUAGCGGGAGGAUUUGAAGCAUGCGCAGAAGAUCCAAGUCGUGGGUUAAAGGAUGAAUCUGUUGAACACGCCCUACCCUCCGCACGCUGUCCUUUCCCGCACGCUCCCGGGGAGCGUUGUGCCCUCUGGCGGCCAGGAGUUUCAGCCCUGCAAGCGGUGCUCGCAAAAUAUUAUUCAUUAACGUGAGAUAACACCGCUGUUCCGACGGAUGGAAAACCGAGGCUUAGAGAUGAACUGAUUUGCCCAAGGUCAUACAGCAAGUGCGAUCAAGCUGAGCUUCAAACUUAAGUCCAAGGCUCGCUGCUUUCAGUCACAAUGCGCUUGCCCAUGACAAUGUCCACGGCUCAAGGUCAAACAAAAGAGUGGAGUGGUCCCCUUUACUCAACAGACAAUGGAAAAGAAAAGGCUCAGGUCAAGUGGACAGUGACUCCAGGGAGCUGCAAUCAGAAGGUUCAGUGCAUGGCAGGCUAGAGAGAGAUGCAAGGUGCAUUACAAGUGUUAAAGACUUCCCUGAGGAUGUCUGCAAAGGAGGGAACAUCUGAACUGAGCCCUGGAGUAACAGUCUUUCAGGAAGGAUACACAGGUUUAUAAAAUGCACACCAGACCUGGGAACUGUGGAACAUGCCUUCUGGGGACUGCUCAAAGGCCAGAGACCACUACAGUGGGUGGAACACUCUGGAGGGAGGGCAACUUGGGGUGGGAGCGAAGGAAGGAUGACCAUUCUCUGAAGGUAGCAGCAGGACCUUUUGCUUAACUACUUGAGGUUGCAGAAGGAUCUUGGUUGUCCUUGGGCUGAAAAGAUGGAGAAUUACUUCUGCCUUCCAGAGCUCUAGGGUUAUUUGACCACCCAAGAACUGGAACUAGCUGGCUGUGAAACCACAUCUCUUCAGAUGGUGGUUCCUGCAUAUGGCACUGAGCAGAUGCAGCUGGGGGUAGGCAGGUGAAGGAAUGGAGCUGCAGGUGACUAGUCAUCAAGCCCUGGGGCUCAUCUAGCAGCAGGGCUGUCCAGGAAUAGCUCCCUGGGUUUAUCCUCCAUGUUGAGUGAGGACUGGUUCAUUGCCAUGGCUUCAAUUACAUCUCUGCGCUGGCAACUGCUAGUCUCACACCUCCACUUGCACUUGAAUGCCUCCCAGGAACCUUGUCAAUGAGCCCCAACUGCACCAGAACUAUCAUACUGGCUCCAACCUGGGACACACCCAAGGGGGUCUCAUGCUGGAGGGUCUCUCUCGUGUUGCCAUUAGAGUCCCAAGCCUGUCACUUCUCUCACUCAAGUCUCUCAGCCCCAGUCUCAGUCACCUCCCCCUUGGUCUUGUCUUUUCCUACCUGGGGUAUCAAACUCAAAGUUUCCUUUCCCUUGCCUUCCAGUCUGGCCCCUGGGUCACCACACUGCAAUCGAGACACAGACUUGAGCGAGUCAGGCCUCUGGUAACAGCCUCUUAUUUGGAGGCUAAGGUCAAGGCUAAGGCCCUGGAGCAGGGCCUCCGAGGCUCUCCUGUCCCCACUUCCCUGCCCUACUCUGCGGCUGUCAGCACUGGCUCUGACACACUGCUGUGGGCUGUGCUGUACCCACUGCCCUUGUUCCCAGGACCCAGCUGAUGAGUCACCCUCCUGUAAAUUCACUCCUGGGCUUUACAAGACAGGGCACUUCCCUUGACCUGGUACUUGUCACACCCUAAUGUGUUUGUCCAGUUUCGUGUCAGUUUCCUUGCUGGACUCAGUUUCUCCCAGGGUAAGAACUGAACUGUUACUGUUUGGCUCCCAGUGUUUGUGGACAUACUUGCUGAAUGAAUAAAUGACCUACGACAGAA
This is a long non-coding RNA of Mus musculus (house mouse), 2386 nucleotides long. RefSeq annotates it as predicted gene, 46416. Lineage: Eukaryota; Metazoa; Chordata; Mammalia; Rodentia; Muridae. The record is from RefSeq and is a predicted model, not a curated record. The transcript has 4 exons.